Phyllostomus hastatus (greater spear-nosed bat) is the source of this 4750-nucleotide long non-coding RNA. RefSeq lists it as uncharacterized. The transcript has 4 exons. Lineage: Eukaryota; Metazoa; Chordata; Mammalia; Chiroptera; Phyllostomidae. The record is from RefSeq and is a predicted model, not a curated record.
CCCGCCAGAGAGCCGUGCUGGCCGCCUCUAGGGGCCCCGCCCAUCCUGGAAGUGGGUUCCCGGGGGGCGCCUCGGUGGGUCUGAGGGGGAGUGGGAGGAGGCCCUUGGAGGAGAACUCCCCAGCUUCUCGAAGCCCGGCCCUCCAGCCCGGCCCUGGGCAGGGUGUGGGAAUCUGGAAAGCACGUUGCUCAGAGGUGCAUCACUAGGAGGGGAGGGCCGAGCGAGUGGGCGCCUGUCUCUGCGGCGCCCGGAGCCUUCUCCGCCUCCGUCCCGGUCCUGUUUGAGGGUUUCCCGUGCAGUUGGGCUUGACUGCGAUUCUGUGGCCGAGGAGCAUGUGGACACCACUCUCCUUGGGGCCCCUCGGGGGAGCCCGCCCUCCCUCUGGAGAGACCUUUAUCUUGCUGGCACAGGGCCCGCGGGCAGGUGGUGUUCGCUUUGUCUGUCGUUCCCUGCGGGUAUCCAUAUCCACUGAGGGGGUCAAACUGCUGCUGGAGCCCAGGGCCAGGGGACCGGGGCCUUGGGGGCCCCAUCCAUCUAGGGAUCACAAGUGACCAGUUUCACACAGCCCUCAAUGGGUGGGGCACCAAGGCACAGAAGCCGGACAACAGGGAGGGUGUCCACCUGUGGGGAGGAGCAAGGCCCGAGGGGGGAAGGGGCUGUGAAUCCCGGAGAGAAGGGUCAGCCAGCUAGGUCUCUGUGUCCCCGGACUUGGGGCUAAUCUGGGAGGCUCCGCAGAGCCAGCACCCAGUGAAAUCCGCCUGGUCGCCCCCAUCGCCAGCACUGCCAGUGUCCCUGGGGAGUGCUCUCCGGGGGGGGGGGGUCCCCUUUUUUUAAAACGCCCUCUCCACUCUCAGGCUCCUCGAACAAAGCCUUGGGCAGCAAAACCCACACCUGGUUUUCAUCAAAAUGUGUACACCACAUUCAUACACGCACAGAGGUUCACACAACAAAUUGAAUUGUUUUCUCUAAAAGGGUGAGAUUUGCAAGCUUUUUUGCUUCCACGCGCUUUUCAGGUACAUCUACGGUAACUUUUGUAACAAACUAACAAAGCCUUCAAGUCACGCAAAACGGAAUAAAGCAUGCCCAUACUUCACCAUCCGGCUCCAGCACACCUGGGUCGCUCCCGGACACUGCUGGGCAACGGCCAGGCCCCUCCUACCGCAACACGGGGCAGGGCCCUGCCAGUUCUGGCUGAACCGCUUUGGGCAAAACCUCCCUUAUAUGACGGGCAAGCAGGGUGUCUGUGGGUGGUGGGGAGGAGCCGGCGGGGAUUUGGUGGUGAAAUGGCUCGUCCUGCCGGGACAGGAUCCCGGCACGGCCAGCCCUCGUCAGGUUCCUGGUUACUGGGGUGGGUCUGCCGCAUCCCAAACUCUCUGGUGGGCUUAAGGGCCCCCCUCUUCUGUGCCUUCUGCCUUGCCUUCAAUGUCCAGCCAGUGCUGCCCGCAACUGGGCACCGAGUAGGUGCGCUGGGCACAGGCUAAGCAGACAGACGUUCCCUGAGCGAAUGCUGAGCACCGGGCCCUGGUGCCCGGAGCCCAGCCGCUCGCGGCGUGUCCUGGGAAGCCAGCAGCUGUGUCCGGUGGGGCAGGGAGGGGGUGCCCCGGCCGGCCAGCAUCUUCCCGAACCUGUGUCCUACUGCGUGGCCCUGCGGCUCCAGCGCGCCCCCGCCUUGCCUCCUCCCUCUUGAUCCGGAGAAGUCAGACAGACAAACACGGAUUCUUGGUGACUUUUCCCGUUAGUCCUGGCACCGGGAAGGGGUUUCUUGGCCUCGGCACGCUGACCUCCUGGGCUGGAUCCUGGUCUUUCGUGGUGCUGUCUGCCCGAUGCCUGGGGUGUGCUUAGCAACAUCCCCAGUCUCCAAACACUGGUUAGGUGCCAGCGACACCCCCCACCCCCGUUACGACAAGCAAAAAUGUCCCUAGACGGUGCCACAUGUCCCCUGGGGGCCGGAUCGCCCCCAGCUGAGAACCGCCGCUGCAGAGCGAGGAAGAGGGGUGGCGUGGGGGUGGGCGCCCGUGCCGCCUGCAAAGCCCCGGGAGCAGUCUGCUGGGGACUGUGCGCCCAGACAGCUGGCAGCGAGGGAGACACUCCCAAACCCCACACCGCCGGGCACGGCAGCGCAACAAUGGGGCCAUUCAGUGUUCGGGGCGAGCGGUCUUAAACGUCUCUCCACGACAUCUGAGGACACGGCUUUCAGCGGCGCUGACGGUUGCGCGGAGCCCAGGAGAGGGACAGUCGUGCGAUCAAGCUCUGUUUCCAGGGCGGGGACGUGGGUGAGACCGCUUCGAGCUGAAUGUGUGUUCAGAAGGCAGGUCAGCGGCUGCCGGGGAGGGGGCCCAGGGCGGGAGGAACCUUUGGGGAGCACGGCGGUGCUGGUCUCACGGGCGUGAGCGGACGGUGACACAGACAGAGCCACACACGUUAAAAUGCGCGCAGUGGAUGCUGUGUUGGUCACACCUCGAAAAAGGUGGUUUUAAAAUCCAUUUGUCCAAAGUUUUAGUGCCUGAAAGAUGUUAUUUUGAGGAUGCCCUCGGGUGAGGCAGCCCAUUUCGGGACUGUGCCGGGUAGAGGCCGUGCAUCUGGGGAGACGAUCGCGGGACCUCCCAGGAAAACAGCAGGUGGUGGUGUGGGCCUCAGGGCCGUUGGAGAAAGCAGGGGAAGGGCCGCUGCGCUCGGCUAGGCCUCCCCCCGAGAAGGCGGCGAGUCUACCCGUAGCUAGGGGCGGCGCUGGAGAGCUCCUCCGCCAGAUGAUGCUACCAAACCCGUGUGCCUGGGCCCGUAGUAAGUGGGCUCGGGAAAAUAAAAUAACAAAUGGACUGCUGGCUGCCAGAAAAGGAACACAUGAUUCUGGAAACCACAGGCUCCUCUGCUAACUUUAAUCCCUAAAACAAAUAUUGCUGGGGAGAGUCAGCCAAUACCUGGAGGAGGGCGGGGCCGUCCCUCCGUAGGGCAUGGCACCUACCCCUGGGGAGCAGGCCACCCCGGUGCCCGAGGGGCUGCGCUCGGCAGAGGGGGUGGCGGACGCGCCGGGUGAGAGAGCUGCAGCCGUCUCUCCCUGAUGGGAGGAGCGCUUCUGAGCUGCGGGAGACCUCCACGGGGUCCCCUGGAGCCCGCGAGGGAGGCCUGGGAGCAAGGAAAUGGCUUGUGACGGGGACGAGUUAGGAGUGGAGGGCUGACUGCGCGCCAGGCAUCUCACUCCUUCGUUCUCAGACACUGGCUGAGCACCUGCGGGGUGCACAGCCUCCUUCCGUGCUCCCGUCGGGGCCCCGGACGCGGACGGCAGCAUGAUUAGCCGGCGUGUAAGAGAACAUCAGGUCGUGGUCGCAAGUACUCUGGGGGGGAAAUCGCAAGCGGGUGAUGUUGGAAGUUCCUGGGGUGGUCAGGGAAGGCCUCAGGGAGGAGGUGAUAUUCGAGCAGAAGCUCAAGAAAGAGGCGAAGGUGUGCAGAUCUGAGGUGUGAAGAGAGGGCUCCCAAGGCCCAGGAAACCAGGGGGACACGCCUGGUAUAUGAGCUCGUGCGCUUGGGGAGCAGACGCUCCGAAAAGCGUGGGGGGUGGGGGGAGGGGGGACGGUGAGGAGUGGCGAGAGGAGAGGGUAGGCGAGAGCCAGACCGUGGAGCAUGUGGCAGGCUGGUCAGCAUGUGGAAUUAAAGUCUCAGACCAGUGGACAGUUUGGGAGAAUCUCACUAAUUUAUCCUUUUAAGAGGCCCCUCAGACUGCCGUGGGGAGGAGACAUGUAGGAGGUAAUAGCGGAAACCGCCCCCCAACAGCCCAACGCAGGAGUCACCAUGGGUGACCCUCCUGAGUUACCUGCUGGCUGGGGGACCGGCUCGGGGAAGCAGAGUGACUUUCACAACAUGACGGAGAAACCGAGGCCUAGAGAGCCUGCUGGGAACUCGGAAGAAGAUCCAGCCUGCGGAGGGAGGGCGGAAAGCUUUCUGCCUCUGCAAGAGGGAGCACUGGAGCUGAAUCAGCCACUCGUUCCCUUAGACGUCGGGACGUGGGCGGCUCUGCUCUGGUUCCCGUUGGACAUUUUCUUGGAGAAGCCUGUUCACCUGCAUCCUCCCAGUAGUCCCGGGACCGCCGUGCUUCUGUUUGCACCGUGGACUGUUACAUCACUCGGCCUUCUCCUGGCUUCAACGCAUCAUUGACGCGUUAAACCCGCCUCUGCUCUCUUCUCGUGAGCCAACAGCAAUUAAAAAGGACUGCCUGGUGCCAACACAAUCGUAAACACAAAUGCACACUCGGGCAGCGAAGUCCUGUGUCGACAGGAGACUGGAAGGUGGUCAUGCCGACGGUCGUGAUGAUGCAAGUGACCGUGAUGGUCCCAUUUACUGGGAACUUGCCGCGGGACGGAGCCGUGCUAAUUGCCUUGCAUGCGGGGUCUUAUGCGAUCCUCCCAAGGACCCUACAGGGCACACCCCACUGUACACAGGAGGACAUUUAGACUUAGUGGGGCUCGAGAACUUGCCCGAGGUCACAUGCACAGCAAGUGGUACAGUCGGAACUUGAACCUGUGUCCGUCCAGCUGACCCCAGUAACCCCUGGAAGGGCUGGUGGCUGGGGCAGGGAACUCCCUGUUCUGUUUGCCAUCGGGUCCUGGCCGCAACCGCUCCCUGUGGCUGUGCCCCGCUGGGCCGAGCAGGGCAGAUCAAUAGAAUUGAGAGUAAAAACGAAGCUGCCCCCUCCCGUUGGCUGCACGUGCCGUGCCGGGCACUGUCAGAGCUCCAGAAGUGCUGCCCGCCUCCAGCA